AAAUGAAUAGACGGGGACCCGCACAAGCGGUGGAGCAUGUGGUUUAAUUCGAAGCAACGCGAAGAACCUUACCAAAUCUUGACAUCCUUCUGAAUAGCUGGUAAAGCAGCUAGGCCUUCGGGACAGAAGAGACAGGUGGUGCAUGGUUGUCGUCAGCUCGUGUCGUGAGAUGUUGGGUUAAGUCCCGCAACGAGCGCAACCCUUAUCUUCAGUAGCCAGCAAGUUAAGUUGGGCACUCUGGAGAGACUGCCGGGGAUAACCCGGAGGAAGGCGGGGAUGACGUCAAAUCAUCAUGCCCCUUAUGAUUUGGGCCACACACGUGCUACAAUGGCGUAAACAGAGGGAAGCGAAGGCGCGAGCCGGAGCAAAUCCCAGAAAUAACGUCCCAGUUCGGACUGUAGGCUGCAACCCGCCUACACGAAGCUGGAAUCGCUAGUAAUCGCAGAUCAGAAUGCUGCGGUGAAUACGUUCCCGGGUCUUGUACACACCGCCCGU
This 495-nucleotide ribosomal RNA is filed under the name uncultured bacterium. Its description in RNAcentral is "bacterial SSU rRNA". It matches the Rfam family "Bacterial small subunit ribosomal RNA", at positions 903 to 1397 of the family's 1533-position model. The record is from RNAcentral.